This 232-nucleotide long non-coding RNA is filed under the name Olea europaea (common olive). Its description in RNAcentral is "long non-coding RNA (OEUR_LNC006448)". The record is from RNAcentral. Lineage: Eukaryota; Viridiplantae; Streptophyta; Magnoliopsida; Lamiales; Oleaceae.
AGGAGGAAGAUGGUAGCAGGGGGGAACCCGAAGGAGAAGAAGUUAGGGAAGAAGGGGAAGGAAAACGUAAAAAUCAAGCAUAUUCAUUUCAUUAAUUCAUCAACUAUCCCAAGUAAACAACAAAACAUAUAUAAAUAGCCAACAAAACCCUAAAGAUAAGGGGCUUGGGCCAAACCAAUUAUACAAGCCCAAUAAAACAUAAGGCCUAAAAUAAAUGGAAGAUAAAAUGGCC